CGUAAAGCGCAUGCAGGCGGCCUGUUAAGUCAGAUGUGAAAGACCCGGGGCGUUAACCUCGGAAUUGCAUUUGAAACUAGGCAGGCUAGAGUCUUGUAGAGGGGGUAGGAAGUUUCUAGGUGUAGCGGUGAAAUAGCGUAGAGAUCUGAAGGAAUACCAGUGGCGAAGGCGGCCCCCUCGGACAAAGACUGACGCUCAGAUGCGAAAGCGUGGGGAGCAAACAGGAUUAGAUACCCUGGUAG
RNAcentral lists this ribosomal RNA (242 nucleotides) under uncultured bacterium. RNAcentral's name for it is "partial 16S ribosomal RNA". It matches the Rfam family "Bacterial small subunit ribosomal RNA", at positions 559 to 793 of the family's 1533-position model. The record is from RNAcentral.